This 253-nucleotide ribosomal RNA is filed under the name uncultured bacterium. Its description in RNAcentral is "partial 16S ribosomal RNA". It matches the Rfam family "Bacterial small subunit ribosomal RNA", at positions 524 to 776 of the family's 1533-position model. The record is from RNAcentral.
UACGUAGGGUGCAGGCGUUAAUCGGAAUUACUGGGCGCAAAGCGUGCGCAGGCGGUUCGUUGUGUCGGCGGUGAAAGCCCCGGGCUCAACCUGGGAAUGGCCGUUGAAACUGGCGAACUGGAGUGUGGCAGAGGGGGGUGGAAUUCCGCGUGUAGCAGUGAAAUGCGUAGAGAUGCGGAGGAACACCGAUGGCGAAGGCAGCCCCCUGGGCUGACACUGACGCUCAGGCACGAAAGCGUGGGGAGCAAACAGG